Molecule: ribosomal RNA, 253 nt
Filed under: uncultured bacterium
Lineage: Bacteria
Description: partial 16S ribosomal RNA
Rfam family: Bacterial small subunit ribosomal RNA
Source: RNAcentral
UACAGAGGGUGCGAGCGUUAAUCGGAAUUACUGGGCGUAAAGGGUGUGUAGGUGGUAAUAUAAGUCAGGUGUGAAAUACCGUAGCUCAACUACGGAAUUGCGCUUGAUACUGUAUAACUAGAGUCUUGUAGAGGAUAGUGGAAUUUCCGGUGUAGCGGUGAAAUGCGUAGAUAUCGGAAGGAACAUCAGAGGCGAAGGCGGCUAUCUGGCCAAAGACUGACACUGAGACACGAAAGCGUGGGGAGCAAACAGG